This 480-nucleotide ribosomal RNA is filed under the name uncultured bacterium. RNAcentral's name for it is "bacterial SSU rRNA". It matches the Rfam family "Bacterial small subunit ribosomal RNA", at positions 20 to 518 of the family's 1533-position model. The record is from RNAcentral.
UGGCUUAGGACGAACGCUGGCGGCGUGCCUAACACAUGCAAGUCGAGCGGUGAAACCCUUCGGGGUGGAUUAGCGGCGGACGGGUGAGUAACACGUGGGUAACCUGCCUCAAAGAGGGGGAUAGCCUCCCGAAAGGGAGAUUAAUACCGCAUAACAUUAUUUCUUCGCAUGAAGAGAUAAUCAAAGGAGCAAUCCGCUUUGAGAUGGACCCGCGGCGCAUUAGCUAGUUGGUGAGGUAAUGGCUCACCAAGGCAACGAUGCGUAGCCGACCUGAGAGGGUGAUCGGCCACAUUGGAACUGAGAUACGGUCCAGACUCCUACGGGAAGCAGCAGUGGGGAAUAUUGCGCAAUGGGGGAAACCCUGACGCCAGCAACGCCGCGUGGGUGAAGAAGGCCUUCGGGUUGUAAAGCUCUGUCUUCUGGGACGAUAAUGACGGUACCAGAGGAGGAAGCCACGGCUAACUACGUGCCAGCAGCCGC